This is a long non-coding RNA of Lolium perenne, 1539 nucleotides long. RefSeq lists it as uncharacterized. The record is from RefSeq and is a predicted model, not a curated record. NCBI's taxonomy places the organism in Eukaryota, Viridiplantae, Streptophyta, Magnoliopsida, Poales, Poaceae.
GCCGACGAGUCCUCUCCUCUCUCCCCUUCUCUGGCUCUGUCCGCCCGUCUCCCCUUUCUCCGUCGAUGGCGGCUGGAACGACGAGCGCUCGCGGCGGUGGGGAAUGGCGUGCGCUCACGGCGGCAGCGGGGAAAGGCGAGCUUAGCCGCCUCCCAGCCCCUGUCUCCACAAGCUUCCCUCAGCGCGAUUUUGGCGUACCCUAGAUUCAUGAGCUACCAAAACUGCUCAUCCCCUCUCCCCUCUUUCUCCCUCCUCUUCUUUGUCCGUCGGUGGUGGUGGAGACCGGCAUGCAUUCUUAUUCAGCUCCUCUUCACCGCAGCGUAGCAGGAGGCAAGAUUGCGAGGACGGCGAUGACCGAGUGGACCAUGGGAACGGCGGUGGUUCACCAUGGAGAACGGCCGAGGGAGUGACCGUGGCGGCCCUACGCGACAGCGGCCGGAAGGGUUCCACCAGCGAGCAACCUAGUGGCGGAGGGAUUGACCGUGGCAGUUGGACGCGGAAGCGAGCGGCUGUCAGGGUGGAACGGCAGUGGCGAGCGGUGGUGCUGACGCCGCUGCAUCGAAUAAGAAUUGCAGAGCAAGGAGUGGCAAUACAGGAGCAGUCACCUUCAGCAGCAGGUGGCCACGGGAAGACGGACAACAGGUCGGCUAAGCGCGCAUGUAAAUCGCCUGGCAGCACCAUGGUCGUGGAAGAGCGAUGGCCCUGGUCUAGAAGGUGCUGACCGUGAGGCAUCGACCACAUCCUAGGCUCCUAGCACAAUUCUCAACAAUUUAAUUGGACAUGCAUCUCCUGCUACCGCUACAUCUAUGAAGGUCUCAUCAAUAUCAGAUAUGUAUAUGUGCACUCUCUGCCCGGUUCUGUAAUUCAACUAAACUGUAAGCCAGGUUGAUUUUGGCUGCUUUCAGGUUAUUAUUUCCUGUAUUAUGACUUAUUUUAAGAUUCUGCCAAAUGCCUAGGUUUAUUUCAAGAUUAUGACUUUUAGCUGUAAAAUUAUUUCAUGUAUUAUGACUUAUUUCAAGAUUUUGCCAAAAACCAUUGGACAAAAACAACAACUGCACCUAGGCUUAUAGGAAAUUACUUGCUCCGCUCACUUCAUCUCACACUAAAUCUUUUACAGCUGCCCUAAUUUACCCCUUCAAUUCGUAUUUUAUAUCUAUGUUUUAUCGUUAUUUUGAGUCCAAAAGUAGUAUUUUUUAUCCUUGAUUACUAUGUAAAAAUUAGAAUAAGAAACCUGCUUGCCGAGGUGCAAUUGAUUUCCAUUUUUCUGAAGACCCCCAUCCCCAUGGCUUAUGAUGGUUAAUAAUUGUGUUCAGCCUGUAGUGUUCAGAGUUAUACUGAAAUAUGGCUGUUUGUACCUUCUGGCCGUCUCCAAUGUUUUGAACAUUUCAUUGUAUAUAGUCAUACCUAUGGACUACUUCCUUUUUCCCAAAAAGCAUCCACCUUUGAUUUUUGGUGAAGAUACUAAGCAAAACAAUAGCCAGCGGUUUAUGUGUUUGAUUACUUAAUAAUUGUUUGGCUCACUGUAUGUAUUUCCAUUAA